RNAcentral lists this ribosomal RNA (324 nucleotides) under uncultured eukaryote. Its description in RNAcentral is "partial 18S ribosomal RNA". It matches the Rfam family "Eukaryotic small subunit ribosomal RNA", at positions 1470 to 1796 of the family's 1831-position model. The record is from RNAcentral.
CCCUUAGAUGUUCUGGGCUGCACGCGCGCUACACUGAAGCUAUCAACACGUUUUCCCUCCCUGAGAAGGGCGGGUAACCUUUUGAAUCAGCUUCGUGGUAGGGAUCGGGGCUUGCAAUUGUUCCCCGUGAACCAGGAAUUCCUAGUAGACGCGAGUCAUAAGCUCGCAUCGAGUAAGUCCCUGCCCUUUGUACACACCGCCCGUCGCUACUACCGAUUGAACGUUUUAGUGAGGCAUUUGGACCGACGCAUCUCAGUUUAACCGCUGGUUUGUGUUGGAAAGACUUCCAAACUUGAGCGUUUAGAGGAAGUAAAAGUCGUAACA